This 458-nucleotide ribosomal RNA is filed under the name Streptomyces sp. HVXM-11-6. RNAcentral describes it as "bacterial SSU rRNA". It matches the Rfam family "Bacterial small subunit ribosomal RNA", at positions 54 to 527 of the family's 1533-position model. The record is from RNAcentral. Lineage: Bacteria; Bacillati; Actinomycetota; Actinomycetes; Kitasatosporales; Streptomycetaceae.
CAUGCAAGUCGAACGAUGAACCACUUCGGUGGGGAUUAGUGGCGAACGGGUGAGUAACACGUGGGCAAUCUGCCCUGCACUCUGGGACAAGCCCUGGAAACGGGGUCUAAUACCGGAUACUGACCCGCCUGGGCAUCCAGGCGGUUCGAAAGCUCCGGCGGUGCAGGAUGAGCCCGCGGCCUAUCAGCUUGUUGGUGAGGUAAUGGCUCACCAAGGCGACGACGGGUAGCCGGCCUGAGAGGGCGACCGGCCACACUGGGACUGAGACACGGCCCAGACUCCUACGGGAGGCAGCAGUGGGGAAUAUUGCACAAUGGGCGAAAGCCUGAUGCAGCGACGCCGCGUGAGGGAUGACGGCCUUCGGGUUGUAAACCUCUUUCAGCAGGGAAGAAGCGAAAGUGACGGUACCUGCAGAAGAAGCGCCGGCUAACUACGUGCCAGCAGCCCGGGGUAAUUCA